This is a long non-coding RNA of Cervus elaphus (red deer), 458 nucleotides long. RefSeq lists it as uncharacterized. The record is from RefSeq and is a predicted model, not a curated record. The transcript has 3 exons. Lineage: Eukaryota; Metazoa; Chordata; Mammalia; Artiodactyla; Cervidae.
UUACUGUCUCCAGAAAUCCAAAGACGCCACUUUACGCCAGAAAUACUCCUGGUGGGUUAGGGUUUUACUCAAGGAAAUGCUGCAGUAGAAAAUUACCAUUUCUCUGUGCUGUUUUCAGAGUUUCCUCAGUGACUCCAAUGGGAAGACAUGGAUAUGAACUACUGAUGAAAAUUAGAUACAAACGUCAAUGCUUUGCUGUCCAGUGAAACCAGCCUUGUUUUAAAAAAGAAGGAGAGAGAGAAAAGAAAAAAGAAGCUGUUUCUAGGCAAAGAGCAGAGGACGUGGGAAUAACAUCCUCCAUUCAGCUUCAUCCCCUCAAAAGCUCAUUUGUAGAACUGGGUAAACACACACCUUCCGCAUCUAUUUUUGAAAUUACGUUGAGGAAUAUACGGAGUGUUAUCUGUAAAAGAAGCAACUUUUGAAACUUUAGUUGAUGUAAAAUGUUCCAAGAUUCAUGA